RNAcentral lists this ribosomal RNA (164 nucleotides) under uncultured Chlamydiales bacterium. RNAcentral describes it as "partial 16S ribosomal RNA". It matches the Rfam family "Bacterial small subunit ribosomal RNA", at positions 350 to 504 of the family's 1533-position model. Lineage: Bacteria; Pseudomonadati; Chlamydiota; Chlamydiia; Chlamydiales. The record is from RNAcentral.
AGCUGCGUCGAGAUCUUUCGCAAUGGGCGAAGCCUGACGGAGCGACACUGUGUGAAUGAUGAAGGCCUUCGGGUUGUAAAGUUCUUUCGCCUGGGGACAAGAGAGUUCUGCUAAUAGUGUGGAAUGAUUUGAGGGUACUAGGUAAAGAAGCACCGGCUAACUCC